RNAcentral lists this small RNA (1132 nucleotides) under Pan troglodytes (chimpanzee). RNAcentral describes it as "processed transcript". The record is from RNAcentral. Lineage: Eukaryota; Metazoa; Chordata; Mammalia; Primates; Hominidae.
GGGGCGGUGGCGACGCAGAUACCAGCAUCACCUCCGCCAGGCCGGGCCCCACGCCGGCCGCGGAUUGGCUCCCUCCAAGGGCACGCACGCCCGGGGACUCGUUGGCGGCGUGGAGGGGCGCCGGUGGCCACGUUGGUGUCAACCUCCUUCGUGAAGCUCACACCUCCCCCGCCCCGGGAGGGGUUUGCCCGCCACUGUCGCUGAAUGAUUGCAUCAUCGAAAGCAGAAAACCACUUUUGCAUCCUUCGGUCUCUGGCGUGCCUGCCAUGACGUAAUAGCUCUGCGGAGGUGGAAGUUGGGGAGCUUUGAGGGGUCCAGGCUGGCUGGCAGAGGCCAUAGUGACGUGGCGGGGGCACCUGACAAAACUGCUGACGACACCGUAUGAGCGGCAGGAGGGCUGGCAGCUGGCAGCCUCCCGGUUCCAGGGAACACUAUACCUGAGUGAAGUGGAGACACCGAACGCUCGGGCCCAGAGGCUUGCUCGGCCACCGCUCCUCCGGGAGCUUAUGUACAUGGGAUACAAAUUUGAGCAGUACAUGUGUGCAGCCGCCUGGGAAGCCACCCUCUGCUCUUCUCAGGGGAGGUAGACUGCACAGACCCCCAGGCCCCAUCCACACAGCCCCCGACCUGCUAUGUGGAGCUCAAGACCUCCAAGGAGAUGCACAGCCCUGGCCAAUGGAGGAGUUUCUACAGACACAAGCUCCUGAAAUGGUGGGCUCAGUCAUUCCUCCCAGGGGUCCCGAAUGUUGUUGCUGGCUUCCGUAACCCAGACGGUUUUGUCUCUUCCCUCAAGACCUUUCCUACCAUGAAGAUGUUUGAAUAUGUCAGGAAUGACCGUGACGGCUGGAAUCCCUCUGUGUGCAUGAACUUCUGUGCCGCCUUCCUUAGCUUUGCCCAGAGCACCGUUGUCCAGGAUGACCCCAGGCUCGUUCACCUCUUCUCUUGGGAGCCUGGCGGCCCAGUCACCGUGUCUGUACACCGAGAUGCACCUUACGCCUUCCUGCCCAUAUGGUAUGUGGAAGCUAUGACUCAGGACCUCCCAUCACCCCCCAAGACUCCCUCCCCCAAAUAGUAAUGCUUUAGAGGGAGACAGUCAUAUCUCUGUGUGCAGAUAAUAAAAGCAUAUUUCUAA